UACAGAGGUCUCAAGCGUUGUUCGGAUUCAUUGGGCGUAAAGGGUGCGUAGGCGGCGCGGUAAGUCGGGUGUGAAAUCUCGGAGCUUAACUCCGAAAAUGCAUUCGAUACUGCCGUGCUUGAGGACUGGAGAGGAGACUGGAAUUUACGGUGUAGCGGUGAAAUGCGUAGAUAUCGUAAGGAAGACCAGUGGCGAAGGCGGGUCUCUGGACAGUUCCUGACGCUGAGGCACGAAGGCCAGGGGAGCAAACGGG
Molecule: ribosomal RNA, 253 nt
Filed under: uncultured bacterium
Lineage: Bacteria
Description: partial 16S ribosomal RNA
Rfam family: Bacterial small subunit ribosomal RNA
Source: RNAcentral